Molecule: long non-coding RNA, 3012 nt
Organism: Oncorhynchus tshawytscha (Chinook salmon)
Lineage: Eukaryota; Metazoa; Chordata; Actinopteri; Salmoniformes; Salmonidae
Source: Ensembl
CUCCUUCACACCAGUACGCCGCUCCUGCAACGUGAGGGCAGGAAAAAAUAAGUCACAGGAGUUGGCGAUGGAGUACAAACAACCUUAAGGGCCGGUGUCCCUAUCCAGGCUGGGGCCCCAGAAAGACUUCUCCCACUGGCCGAAGCAGCCUCCCCAUCCUCUCCAACCCCCAACCCUCCGCCCUCGAGGGAAACUGCUCUACUUCCUCCCCUUCUUUAAAGGAUGUGCCAAAAUAAGCAGCUAUGGGCCAGACGAUGAACACCUUUUCCACUGGUUGAUAGCAGUGGCUCACACAGCUCUGAAGAACCCUAAGAAGCAGCCUGGAGGGGAACGCUCAGUAGAACCACCAUGGAGACCGUUAAGAUAGCCUUACUCAUCUUCCUUCUAACCUCGCUCCAGCUCCUCACAACAGAUGCUUCUUGUGUUACCACACAAAAAUCAGCAGAACAUUCAACAACAGGCAAACCAUCAGAAACUACGACACCCGUCACGACUGUUCCUCUUUCCACUGUAAAGAACCUUGGUGUAAAUGUUACUGCAACCAGCGUUACUGCAACCAGUGUGACCCCAACCAGUGUGACCCCAACCAGUGUGACCCCAACCAAGAAUUCUACCUGGAAUUCUACCACAGCGCUUGCUACAUCAACAGUAACAGAAAAUACAAAAAUGUCAUCCUCACCCCAAGUCCCAGUGAAUUCCGCAUCUCCAUAUACUAAGGAUAAUGGAACACAAGGGACCCAGGCCCCAACAACUGUUACCAAGAGUGACUCACUAAACAAAACCACCAUUUCUGACCUUACCAAAAAGCUCCCAGGUUCAGAGGCUGAAAAUACAGAUCAAGAUAGAGUCAAGGACAAUAAGAAUACGGAUCAUGUCGAUAAGAACCUGCUGUGGAUUCUUUUGCCAGUCCUGGCACUUGUGGGGGCUGCUGUCGUGGCCCUUCUGAAAAGUAAAUGCAUGAAGGACCACGAUCACACAGAGAUAACUGAUAAUGGAACAGAAAAUGCCUCUUUCCAGAGCAGGCCGGACAACGCCAAAGACGGUGUCAUGCUUCUCGGGGUGAAGUCUUCAGGCGGUGAAGACAAUGCUGCUGCAAGAUAAAAGGGAGGCCAUCCCAUUUGAAAGGACCAAUGGAUGAGGACGAGCUCUUACAACCAAAAAAUGGUCCAGAUCCCUUCACCUUCAACGAUCUAAACCUUAUGGACUAUCAAAUACAGCAUCACAGAAUCACAAAAGUUACUAAAGUGGGAACAUUUGUAUAUGGUUUGUGAGUAUUGUAGGAUAUGGGGCUCUUAACUGAACACGUGUCUGUUAGAAGGUAUAGCAUGUUUUAUUAUGUAAUUCAUUGUUUUGUGUAUUCCUAUUUUGAUGGUAAUUUAGUCAAGAAGGAAUUGUGUUUUUAAUUUAAUCAAGACCAACAUACAGACAUUUUAGUCAGGAAAACGAUGCUGGAUUCUGAAUUAACAUGAAUAAAUUAACCCAAAUUCUCAUUGUCUGAGUGUAAGAUGAUUGUCUCACCCCUGUAUUCAAGAUACUGGUUUUGAUUUGAUUAAAUCACCCAAACAUGCACAAAAUCCAAAUGUACUGAACCUGAAUUCAACACACAAUUCCUCGAUUGAAACCAGUUAGUGACCAGUACACAUGGUUAACAAGUGUUUGUAUGCUUUAAAUCUGUUUAAAAUAAUUAUUUAGUUUUCAGUGUAAAUGCCAGGAUUGUAAAGAUGAGCUUUUUUACCAGUAUGUUUCCUGCUUUUGAACAAGUUAUUUUGUAUAUUAGCUGUUGCUUGUCAGAAAACUUUUGUCAAAUGUUUCCCAAGGAGGGUUGGGUUUGUUUGAAUCACAGAUGUAUGUUUCCCAAGGUGGGUUGGGUUUGUUUGAAUCACAGAUGUAUGUUUCCCAAGGAGGGUUGGGUUUGAUUAAAUCACAGAUGUAUGUUUCCCAGGGAGGGUUGGGUUUGUUUAAAUCACAGAUGUAUGUUUCCCAAGGAGGGUUGGGUUUGUUUAAAUCACAGAUGUAUGUUUCCCAAGGAGGGUUGGGUUUGAUUAAAUCACAGAUGUAUGUUUCCCAGGGAGGGUUGGGUUUGUUUAAAUCACAGAUGUAUGUUUCCCAAGGAGGGUUGGGUUUGAUUAAAUCACAGAUGUAUGUUUCCCAGGGAGGGUUGGGUUUGUUUAAAUCACAGAUGUAUGUUUCCCAAGGAGGGUUGGGUUUGUUUAAAUCACAGAUGUAUGUUUCCCAAGGAGGGUUGGGUUUGUUUAAAUCACAGAUGUAUGUUUCCCAGGGAGGGUUGGGUUUGUUUAAAUCACAGAUGUAUGUUUCCCAGGGAGGGUUGGGUUUGUUUAAAUCACAGAUGUAUGUUUCCCAGGGAGGGUUGGGUUUGUUUAAAUCACAGAUGUAUGUUUUACAACAUUUGGGGUUAAAGCAAAUAAAACUAAAUGUGUUUAUUUUUUGUAAUGGAGCAAAUCCAUAAGAUUUCCCUCUGGUCAAAGAUUAUUUGAAUUUCUCAAAUACAGAACAGCGCUGUUUUACUGAUCGGCAUUGGUUGAAUAUUUGUUGUUUUGCACCCGUACAUGCUAACAAAACAUUGGCGCCAUUAUACAAUGAAUAAAGUUCAUGUUGAUUUUAGAUGUUGACUACACCUGGCUACACACCAUAUCUGAUUGAUUUGAAUGUGUUGAGUUAUAUAAUGCACCAUUGGUUCUUAACGGUAUGCAAAUAAGCAGGCCUUAUAAGCAUAUCGUAUUCCCAAAUAGUAAACACGUUUUUAAUGGACAGCAAAGUCCAGGCCCAGCUGCUCCCAUCACUCCUGGAGGGUUUAGUUCCAACCAGGUUGUCUUUCUUUGUCGUCAAACUGCACAGAUUAUCAGAUCUCACAAUGAUUUGUCUGAGAAACCAUUUGAAUAGGCUAUAUUAUAACACAGGCUUAGUAAUCUUCUGAGAUGCGCAGCAUCUAGAGUCUACUUGAUUUGCCACCUGUAAAAUGUCUAAUUUAUCAAAAUAAACAACAUGGCUAAA